RNAcentral lists this ribosomal RNA (791 nucleotides) under uncultured bacterium. RNAcentral describes it as "bacterial SSU rRNA". It matches the Rfam family "Bacterial small subunit ribosomal RNA", at positions 8 to 796 of the family's 1533-position model. The record is from RNAcentral.
AGAGUUUGAUCCUGGCUCAGAUUGAACGCUGGCGGCAUGCUUUACACAUGCAAGUCGAACGGUAACAGGCCGCAAGGUGCUGACGAGUGGCGAACGGGUGAGUAAUGCAUCGGAACGUGCCCAGUCGUGGGGGAUAACGCAGCGAAAGCUGUGCUAAUACCGCAUACGAUCUAUGGAUGAAAGCGGGGGACCGUAAGGCCUCGCGCGAUUGGAGCGGCCGAUGUCAGAUUAGCUAGUUGGUGGGGUAAAGGCCCACCAAGGCGACGAUCAGUAGCCGGCCUGAGAGGGUGAUCGGCCACACUGGAACUGAGACACGGUCCAGACUCCUACGGGAGGCAGCAGUGGGGAAUUUUGCGCAAUGGGCGAAAGCCUGACGCAGCAACGCCGCGUGGGUGAUGAAGGUCUUCGGAUCGUAAAACCCUGUCGUCAGGGACGAAGGUUUGGGGGUUAAUAACCCUUAAGCUUGACGGUACCUGGAGAGGAAGCCCCGGCUAACUCUGUGCCAGCAGCCGCGGUAAUACAGAGGGGGCAAGCGUUAUUCGGAAUUAUUGGGCGUAAAGGGUGCGUAGGCGGUCGUUUAAGUAGGAUGUGUAAUCCCCGGGCUUAACCUGGGAACUGCAUCCUAGACUGGACGACUUGAGUACUGGAGAGGGUGGUAGAAUUCCACGUGUAGCGGUGAAAUGCGUAGAGAUGUGGAGGAAUACCAGUGGCGAAGGCGGCCACCUGGACAGUAACUGACGCUGAGGCACGAAAGUGUGGGUAGCAAACAGGAUUAGAUACCCUGGUAGUCC